Asparagus officinalis (garden asparagus) is the source of this 687-nucleotide long non-coding RNA. RefSeq lists it as uncharacterized. The record is from RefSeq and is a predicted model, not a curated record. Lineage: Eukaryota; Viridiplantae; Streptophyta; Magnoliopsida; Asparagales; Asparagaceae. The transcript has 3 exons.
UGAAAAGUGGCCCUAAUUGACAGAUUCUCCUCUCCUCUCCUCUCCCAACCUGCUCUCCCUUCUCUGCUCUGGUUGAGAGAACGGCCGUCGUUUCUAGGGUUUCGUCGCAACAACCAAAAUGGUUCUUCCGGAUGACAUUGAUCUGUUGAAUCCUCGGGCGGAGCUCGAGAAGAGGAGGCACAAACUCAAGCGCCUCGUCCAAUCCCCCAAUUCCUUCUUGAUGAACAAUAUUGUUUAGCCACUCACAGACGGUUGUGCUGUGUGGCAAUUGCCAGAAUGUGCUGUGCUAGCACAACAGGAGAUCGUGCAAGGCUCACCAAGGAAUGCUCCUUUUGAAAGAAUAAAGAUUGAAGCUGGGAGAGAGUGGUGUUUUUUCCCCCUCAACUAAAAUAAUCAAGUGUUUUUGCCUGUAUAUAUAAUAGAGUUAUAUCCUAGUUUAAUCCGUGAUCAUCCAUAUGAGUUAUAUCAUAGUUUAAUUCGUGGUCAUCCAUACGUGUUAAAUCGUAUUUCUUGGUUUUGAAGAGAAAUACGUUAUGAGACUACAUCGAAAGUCUGGAUGAAGCUUCCCAUGUCAAUGAGAUUUUGCAGAGAAAAUAUUGAACUUCUAACAUGUGAAUGAGAGAAUGUGUUGUAUCAUGAUUAAAUUUGUUUUUCAAGGGCGAUUAUUAUAAUAUACGUGUUUUGCUA